UCCCUGAUGGUCCAGUGGUUAAAGACUCCUUGAUCCCAGUGCAGGGAGUCGGGGUUUGAUUCCCAGUCAGGGAA
This 74-nucleotide transfer RNA is filed under the name Ovis aries (sheep). It matches the Rfam family "tRNA". Rfam says of the family: Transfer RNA (tRNA) molecules are approximately 80 nucleotides in length. Their secondary structure includes four short double-helical elements and three loops (D, anti-codon, and T loops). Further hydrogen bonds mediate the characteristic L-shaped molecular structure. tRNAs have two regions of fundamental functional importance: the anti-codon, which is responsible for specific mRNA codon recognition, and the 3' end, to which the tRNAs corresponding amino acid is attached (by aminoacyl-tRNA synthetases). tRNAs cope with the degeneracy of the genetic code in two manners: having more than one tRNA (with a specific anti-codon) for a particular amino acid; and 'wobble' base-pairing, i.e. permitting non-standard base-pairing at the 3rd anti-codon position. The record is from Rfam by way of RNAcentral. Lineage: Eukaryota; Metazoa; Chordata; Mammalia; Artiodactyla; Bovidae.